Molecule: long non-coding RNA, 5376 nt
Organism: Lagopus muta (rock ptarmigan)
Lineage: Eukaryota; Metazoa; Chordata; Aves; Galliformes; Phasianidae
Exons: 8
Source: RefSeq, a predicted model, not a curated record
UAAAGCCAUUCCCCAUUGUCCUAUCACUAUCAGAUCGUGGAAGAAGUUGAUCCCCUUCCUGCUUGUAAGCUCCCUUCAAGUACUGGAAAAUCUGCAAUGAGGUCUCCAAAAAGCCUUCUCUUCUUUAAGUUACAUAAGCUCAACUCCCUCGACCUUUCUUCAUAGGAGUGGUUCUGACGUCCUUACAGCAGUUUGCACUGGAAUGAACUCACUUGAAUAUAAGUAAGCAAUCCUUGGUAUGCUUCUUCAGUAAAGAGAAGAAACACAGGAGACAAUGUGCUCCCACAGCACUUCUUUAAGGAGCAUGUCAAAGUUUGAUCAACUUUUCUGGAAACCGUGAUGAAUCUGCUCACCAGUUCAGACAACGCACCCUUUUAUUUCCCCUGAUUCAGACAGCAACAGGAAGGCAGGAAAGCAGGUUGCCACAUGGGGCUUGGAAGAACUGACUGUCUUGCUAGGGUGCGGCUGGAUAUCAGACCUCAGGUUGCUCUCUAAGGCAAAACAGUGUUACCUGCUCAUCACACAUUGCAUGGUUGACCUCUUACCACAAGUGAGGACAGCUCUCGCCAGAAAUGGAACCAGAAGAAUCUCGGUACAAAAUAAAAAAUCUGUCUAGAGGAUAAGUAAAUGCUGGCAAUUAUUGAUAGCCAGUCAUGGUGAGGUCAUCACGGAUCCAUUCUGUUCAGAUAAGUUAUGCUGCUUUGUUGUCACAUUCUGACCUACAGCUGUGACCCUAUCAAUUAGAUGGAGGUAGAGCUGCUGGGGGGAUCAGAUAGAAGGAUUAAGAAACCCCGUGGAGAAAGCCAGCAAUUAUCCAUGAGUGUCACAAAGACAGAGGUGAUCAGAGUUCUGAGCGUUGAGGAAAAGCCUAUCUCCCUGAAGUCACCUAGCACUGAUUUCACACUCUGGCUAUCCUGUAUUUGCUGUAAUGGGGGAAAAAAUAAAUUUUUUCAAGGAAUGGGAAGGAGGACCCCAGCUGGUAGCGUAAGCCCUGACACCUGCGUACCAUCCUCCUUUGAGAUACUCAGCAAGUCUUUCCGUUUCUAUGCGCUGUACUUCUCCCUCUAAACUGCAGCUGGUAACUUUGAUCUUUUAUAAUUCCUGUACCGGUUUGGUCUGUCAGGCCUGAAAUGCAGCCAUGUGCGACUCAGCCAAACCAGCGGCAGUUUUGGUGCUUGUACACUUUCUUGCUUUUGCUGCUCCCUACUCAUAUUAAGAGAGUGUACUCUGAAAUAUAUCAGGAAGCCAGCUCAGAAAGCAUACUGUUUGGGUUUUUUUGUUUGUUUUUAUUUUUUUAUUUUUUAUUUUUCAGGAUUUGAAUAGCACAGUGAGCGCCAUGAGGUUCACAAAUUUCUGCAAGGAAUAGACACCAUGCAAAAUACUGAACUUUUGUCAGCAUAGCUAGGCUCCUUGUUUAACAUCUGAAGGCAGGUUUCAUCUUAAAUAUUUUCUAUUAGGGAAGUGGUUUUAUCUUACGCUUUUUUAUGUUAUUGAAGUGUUGGAUUUUUAGUAAUACCUAUUUUGUUGAUGAAGGUAAGUGCGCCCCAGUGCCUUCUAUACCAGAUGGAACAGGGAUUACAGAAACUCAUGUUGCAUUACUGCAAGAGAAACUCGGAAAUGAAAACCAGACAGUGACACAGAAGAGAUUACAGAACUGAAAUUGCAUAGUGAAUGGAAGAACAGGAUUUUGAGUAGCUCUUUAUUUUUAUCUCUUCUGAAAAAAAAAAGUGACUUUAGCUAUUAACUAUGCUAAUGUGGUUGAAGUGUGCUUUUAUAUGACUGUAGAUUUAUCUGAAAGAAGAAAAAGACAUGGAGCUUUCCUCCCUGAUCAGUACACACUUUCUAUCAACUAUCCUGUAGAUACUAUGUGAGAUUUAUGCUGCUUAUGCAUGAGUCUGUGCAUAUAAAUGUAAUUUCUUUUUCCAUAUGGGAGCCUUUACGUGUAGAGUGCAGCAAUAAGACAAUGUGUAAUGAUUUUAAACUGCAAGAGAUUAGGCUUAGAUUAGACGUUUCGAAGAAAUUCCUGACUGUGAGAGCAGUAAGGCACUGGAACAGGAACACAGAACAGAGAAGAUAUGACAUCCCCAUCCCUGGAAGCAUUUGAGGUCAGACUGGAUGCAGCUUUGAGCAGCCUGACGUAGUGCAAGGUGCCUCUGCCCAUGGCUGUUGGAGCUAGAUGAUUUAAAUCAUUCUGUGAUUCUAAAAUAUUUCUCUCUUUUUCCCUUUUUCCAAUUGAGUAGUAUUGAAUCUCAUGAAGAUGAAACCAAGGAAGAUCUUGUUGAAAGAAAGAUGAGAUAUCCUGAGUUUGCUUUCAUUUAAUUUAAGCACUUGGUGUGAAAACCUGCCAAAUUCUUCUGUCAAAUUGUUACCCAAAGAUACUAGUGAUGGCUUACUUUGAGAGCAGAGAUGAAAUCCAAAUUUUUUCUCACUUCAGGGCAAAAUCAUUACGAUGCAUCUAAUUCAGUUACAGCACACUGUUAAUUUCAUUUUCCGAGGUAAAAAUCAACAAUGUUGUCUGUAUUUGCCACUAAGUCUUGAAGAUAUUCAAGACUGAAGACUCUAAGCAAUAUCUUAAUUGAAUGUAUCAUUUAACUGCCAUUUUACUCUGGUUCCACCUUUAUUUGAGGAUAUUUUUAUGUGAAGACCAACUUAAAACACAGAAAUAUUAUAUCCAAGAUGGAUGAGGAGGUUGUUAUAUAUUUGUGGGUUUUGCUUCACAACACAUCUUGAGAAGUUCUGAAAUUUAUUGCUUAUCUCAUACCGUUAAUUUUAACGGGAAUCUGGAUUUUAGUUCCCAUUGUUAAGUUUGAGAAUUGGCUGUGACGAAAGGGCUUGCAAAGCUAGAGUUGAUGUAUGGUCAGUGAAAUACUAUUUGCCAAGGUGUAGCUCAGGAAGGUCACUUUCGAUGCUCUUUCAUUACCAUACCCUGCAACGUGCUGCAUUUAGGACACGGUGGGCCAUUACUCACAAGCAUGCUGCACAGAGCAAGGCCAAUGUUUCACUGCGUCUCCAGGGUGGUUGUAGUUGUGUUAGCUGGCGUACUGGAUUCCCUGGAGCAGAUGCUUAACAGCGCAGAGCAUUUUCUGCUAAGUGUUCUGGGCUGGGAUGUCCAAGCAGUAGCACAGCAGUUGUCAAAUGUGUAUUCCUUCUGGGUAUUCAUAGCUGUACCUUUCUCUCUUCAAGGACAGAACUAUUAUUGCUAUUACAGUCAUGUAUAUCCUUCCUUCCCUUGGUACGCAGAAAUUGAAGACCUAUAAGGACUUCUUUAUUGCAGGUAUCUCUUUUUGAAACCAUGUUUGAAUUAGGAAAGCAAUACAAGGACUGGAUUUCUUUUUUAAAAGUCAUUAUCUAGAGCCCUUAUCAGCACUGAUACGGGACUCUGAUGCAUUAACCUUCAAGGAUGAAAUUCUCUAAGCCUGCUUUUUACACAAAACAAUUCUGUUUUAAAACAUUUGAAGUGUGAAAACGCUUUUGUUGUUUCAGUUUAUAGAAACAAGUCACCUUUGACCAGAAAUGGAAAAAUUCAGUAUGGAAGAUAAUGGUUCAGCAACAACAACAAAAAAAUCUGUCACUGCCAUGACAUUGACAGCAAAAUUUGUAACUUCUAUGUGUUUUUUUUUUUUAUCUUUUUUUUAAAUUAAGUUGUUGGAGAAAAAUUUUGAUUGAAUUGGUCCAGAUUGAAUCUAGUCAUAAAGCAAAAUGCAUUUUUUUCUGUGGAGAGUUCUGCUAUGAUAAAAUGUUUCUCAAUCAAAAUGAGCUAAAAGUGAAAAUACUGCAGCUUUGUCAAAAAGCUGGAAAUAUUUUACUUCACAAAUUGGUACUUUGCAUUGGUGCUGAUAUUGCUCUCCCGGAAGUUAGGGACUUCAGUGGCUGUGAAGACCAUAAAAUGUGGCUGAAGAUCCUUUGUCCUCACCUGAAGAACAAAAGAUUGGGACUGGAUUUUGGCGCUGUUGUUCUUUUCUUGGAAGGGAUUCCAGGAAAUGAUAAAGCUGGCAGGAAAAUUGGUGUCUGAGUUCUGGUAACCCGUUUCUGCUGGCAGAAUGAGGAGAUAGACACAGUACAACCUUGUGGGAUAAGGGGAAGAAGGUUGGAAGAAAGAAAUGAAAAUUGUGCUGGGGCCCCUGUUCCAGCAGCGAACACUACCUUAUAUACCUCCAGUUUCUCUCUCUGACUGGCAGCAAGCAGAGGCUUCUAUGGAUUUGGCACAGGCAGAAUAGGAAGAAAAGAAAAAUGCAUAAUUAAAUUUUACAAUUGGCUAAUGCCAUGUGCCCUCUGUUAGUGGGAUAGAAAAGAGUCAAGUUUGUACUUCUUUACACUUUUUCUGUUUGGGUUGUCAGAUGUGUCAUAGACAAGCACUAACACGUUGUUUUCUUCUUCAUACCUUCUGUGCAAACAAUGAGAUGCAUAUUCUAAUCUGUGGCUCACUCUAAACCAUGCAAUUUCUUGAGAAGUUUUCCAAGCCCUGAGCUUCUAACAUUCAUUCUUUAAUACGAGAAGGUGGCCAGGCCAUGCUAAUUCUUUCAUUUUUCUUUGCAAUUAAGAUGUUUCUGGUGUCGUGUGAAGCAUGUCUGACUUCUCAGAGAUGUCAGAAUCACAGUAGGAUGACUUUGAUUGUUUACGCUCUAGCUUAUAACAGUCUGAAGAUGAAUUCCCAAAUCCAUCUGUGGCUAUUUAAAACCUCUGGAAGAACAACCCGUAGAAAACAUGUACUGCUGAAUUAGUUUUGCUCAUUGUUAUAUAAUUCUUUUCUCAUGCCAUAUUCAUCAGAACAUGUUUCUUAACAUGUCCUUGCGCCAUUCAGAAAUGAACAUGAUUGCAAAUUAUCUCUUGGUUUUUGACAAUACCUUCCUCUUGUUUCAACAACAAAACUAGAGGUGGUUUUGGAUUAUUCAUUAAUUCUGUGAAAUGACUUUGAACCUCUUCACAUUGCCUAUUUGCUGUCCACAGUGCAAGACAGAUGAGCUUGAUGCAGAUACAUCUCAAAGUUGGAGUGUACGAUGCCUCUUGAUCUACUUUUAAGCCAGCCUUUCUGCCUGGAUCUUUACAGUCUAUCUCUGUCCAGGGUAUAUAACAACAAAACCUUGCCAUGAGAGAGCCUACAAGCUGGGAAGGUACCUCGCACGGAAGCAGCUGCCCUGAGGAGCACUCAUGAGAUUGCCUGCCCUAGGCAUGGUAGGACUGCAAGAGCUGAGAUAAAGGCUUCAACACCGUUGCUAACUGGAGAAGUACUCUUCCCAACAGCUGCUCAAUCCAGAUUUCAGCAUCCAUUCCAGCUACUGAUAAUUUUAUCCUCAGUAUAGCUUUAAUUAACUGUGUUGUACACCAUAGUAGAUCUACCUUGUUAAACUGCUGCUCUUUGUUUUAGUGGAAAUGCUA